This is a small nucleolar RNA of Cynocephalus volans (Philippine flying lemur), 85 nucleotides long. RefSeq annotates it as small nucleolar RNA SNORD22. Lineage: Eukaryota; Metazoa; Chordata; Mammalia; Dermoptera; Cynocephalidae. The transcript has a single exon. The record is from RefSeq and is a predicted model, not a curated record.
UCCCAGUGAAGAAACAUUCACACGUCUUACUUCCUGUCCUAGUCCCAGAGCCUGUAAAGGUAAAGCAUUCUUGAAUUCCUGGGAU